GUGACUCCUACGGGAGGCAGCAGUGGGGAAUAUUGCACAAUGGGGGAAACCCUGAUGCAGCAACGCCGCGUGGGUGAAGAAGUAUUUCGGUAUGUAAAGCCCUAUCUGCAGGGAAGAGAAUGACGGUACCUGACUAAGAAGCCCCGGCUAACUACGUGCCAGCAGCCGCGGUAAUACGUAGGGGGCAAGCGUUAUCCGGAUUUACUGGGUGUAAAGGGGGCGUAGACGGCAGUGCAAGUCUGAAGUGAAAGGCCCGGGCUUAACCCGGGAAUUGCUUUGGAAACUGUGCGGCUGGAGUGCUGGAGAGGGAAGCGGAAUUCCUAGUGUAGCGGUGAAAUGCGUA
RNAcentral lists this ribosomal RNA (343 nucleotides) under uncultured bacterium. RNAcentral's name for it is "bacterial SSU rRNA". It matches the Rfam family "Bacterial small subunit ribosomal RNA", at positions 332 to 692 of the family's 1533-position model. The record is from RNAcentral.